This 428-nucleotide ribosomal RNA is filed under the name uncultured bacterium. RNAcentral describes it as "bacterial SSU rRNA". It matches the Rfam family "Bacterial small subunit ribosomal RNA", at positions 34 to 507 of the family's 1533-position model. The record is from RNAcentral.
CGCUGGCGGCGUGCCUAACACAUGCAAGUCGAGCGAGGACUUCGGUCCUAGCGGCGGACGGGUGAGUAACGCGUGGGAACGUGCCCUUUGGUACGGAAUAGCCCCGGGAAACUGGGAGUAAUACCGUAUGGUGUCUUCGGAACUAAAGAUUUAUCGCCAAAGGAUCGGCCCGCGUUGGAUUAGGUAGUUGGUGGGGUAAUGGCCUACCAAGCCGACGAUCCAUAGCUGGUCUGAGAGGAUGAUCAGCCACACUGGGACUGAGACACGGCCCAGACUCCUACGGGAGGCAGCAGUGGGGAAUAUUGGACAAUGGGCGAAAGCCUGAUCCAGCAAUGCCGCGUGAGUGAUGAAGGCCUUAGGGUUGUAAAGCUCUUUUACCAGGGAUGAUAAUGACAGUACCUGGAGAAUAAGCUCCGGCUAACUCCGUG